RNAcentral lists this non-coding RNA (23 nucleotides) under Cricetulus griseus (Chinese hamster). The record is from RNAcentral. Lineage: Eukaryota; Metazoa; Chordata; Mammalia; Rodentia; Cricetidae.
GAUAAUCAAUGGGAAAGACGUUG